RNAcentral lists this long non-coding RNA (584 nucleotides) under Ananas comosus (pineapple). RNAcentral's name for it is "long non-coding RNA (ACOM_LNC026695)". Lineage: Eukaryota; Viridiplantae; Streptophyta; Magnoliopsida; Poales; Bromeliaceae. The record is from RNAcentral.
GAACCUAGAGUCAAGUAAACCUAGGUUAUGGCAUUAGUGGUAUUAAACCUAGAGUCGAGUGGACCUAGGACAUAAAUGACAUUGGACCUAGUGUUAAUGAACCUAGGUUAUGAAUAUAGUGAUAUUAAACCUAGAGUCGAAUGAAUCUAGGUAGUAAAGAACAAUGAACCUAGGGUUAUAGAACCUAGGCAAUGAACAUAGUGACAUUAGACCUAAUGUUAUUAAACUUAGGUUGGGAAAUGGCUUGGACCUAGAAAGGUUGUCGGUAUAGGGUAUAAGACUAACCCUUGAAAUGUUGAAAGUGGAUUCUGGAAUCCCAGGUCUUGUGGCCUUAGUGAACGUGGUAUGCUCAUGGUUGUGGAUUGGAUCAUACUCACCUAUAAGUCCGAUACUAGAGGGCGGUCGCUCCCCUUCGAGCGAUGAGCUCCGCAGUGAUCAUCACUGGGUCGUAGUGGGUAUCUCCCCAGAGGUUGAGCCUGUCGGGUCGUAGCAGGUAUCUUCCCGAUUGAUGAGCUCCGGAGUUGUCAUCACUGGGUCGUAGCGGGUAUCUCCCCAGAGGACGGUCCUAUCGGGUUGUAGCGGGU